RNAcentral lists this ribosomal RNA (416 nucleotides) under uncultured bacterium. Its description in RNAcentral is "bacterial SSU rRNA". It matches the Rfam family "Bacterial small subunit ribosomal RNA", at positions 356 to 772 of the family's 1533-position model. The record is from RNAcentral.
GGGGAAUCUUGCGCAAUGGUCGAAAGACUGACGCAGCGACGCCGCGUGUGGGAGGACGCCUUUCGGGGUGUAAACCCCUGUUGCCCGGGACGAACUUCUCCUUUCGAGGAGAUUGACGGUACCGGGUGAGGAAGCACCGGCUAACUCUGUGCCAGCAGCCGCGGUAAUACAGAGGGUGCGAGCGUUGUCCGGAAUCACUGGGCGUAAAGGGCGCGUAGGUGGCGCGACAAGUCGGUGGUGAAAGUUCGACGCUCAACGUCGAAUCGGCCACCGAUACUGUCGGGCUCGAGCACUGUAGAGGCUAAUGGAAUUCCGGGUGUAGCGGUGGAAUGCGUAGAGAUCCGGAAGAACACCGGUGGCGAAGGCGGUUAGCUGGGCAGUUGCUGACACUGAGGCGCGACAGCGUGGGGAGCAAA